GUGCCAGCCGCCGCGGUAAGACGAACCGUGCGAACGUUGUUCGGAAUCACUGGGCUUAAAGGGCGCGUAGGCGGUUUGCCAAGUCAGGGGUGAAAUCCUGCAGCUCAACUGUAGAAGUGCCUUUGAUACUGGCGAACUCGAGGGAGGUAGGGGUGGGUGGAACUUCUGGUGGAGCGGUGAAAUGCGUUGAUAUCAGAAGGAACGCCGGUGGCGAAAGCGACCCACUGGACCUUUUCUAACGCUGAGGCGCGAAAGCUAGGGGAGCAAACGGGAUUAGAUACCCCGGUAGUCCUAGCCCUAAACGAUGGGUACUAGAUUGUAGACUGAUCAUGGGUUUACAGUCGAAGCAAAAGUACUAAGUACCCCGCCUGGGGAGUAUGGUCGCAAGGCUGAA
Molecule: ribosomal RNA, 394 nt
Filed under: uncultured bacterium
Lineage: Bacteria
Description: bacterial SSU rRNA
Rfam family: Bacterial small subunit ribosomal RNA
Source: RNAcentral